Medicago truncatula (barrel medic) is the source of this 115-nucleotide microRNA precursor. It matches the Rfam family "MIR2593 microRNA precursor family". The record is from Rfam. NCBI's taxonomy places the organism in Eukaryota, Viridiplantae, Streptophyta, Magnoliopsida, Fabales, Fabaceae.
UUAUAAGCAAAACUCCACUUUUUAGAUACAUUGAAUAAUUAAUGUAUGCAGUCUAUAAUAAAGACUAGAUACAUUAAUUAUUCAAUGUAUCUAAAAAGUGGAAUUUUGUUUAUAA